CGCGCACCUGCACCUGCACCUGCACCUGCACCGAGGGGACACCGUGGGGGCACCGCGCGCACGCACCUGCACCGCGCGCCCGGGUUCAGGACUUGAUGCAAUCCGGAUCAAACGUGGCUGAGCGCGUGUGGACACGGGACUGACGCAACACACGUGUAACUGUCUGUCAGCCGGGCCCUGAGUAAUCACUUAAAGAUGUUCCUGCGGGGUUGUUGCUGUUGAUGUUUUUGGUUUUUUGUUUUGUUUUGUUUUUUCCUUUUUGGUCUUAUUAUUUUUUUGUAUUAUAAAAAAGUUCUAUUUCUAUGAGAAAAGAGGCGUAUGUAUAUUUUGAGAACCUUUUCCGUUUCGAGCAUUAAAGUGAAGACAUUUUAAUAAACUUUUUUGGAGAAUGUUUAAAAGCCUUUUGGGGGCAGUAGUUGGCUUUUGAAAAAUUUUUUUUUCUUCCCUUCUGACUUUGGAUUUAUGCGAGAUUUUGUUUUUGUGUUUCUGGUGUGUAGGGGGCUGCGGUUAUUUUUGGGUUGUGUGUGGUGGUGGGUGGGGGUGUCGCAUCUGGGUUUUUCUCUUCCCCUGGCAGAUGGGGUGCCAGCCCCUCCCCCAGGAGAGGGAGCAGAGUGCUGGGUCAGGAAAUCAGGGUGACUCAGCACCCAUGGGUGCUGGGGACCUUGCUGGAAACCCUGCUUGGGACAGGGUUGGUUCUGGGUGUCAGGCUUGUGUUGGGGACCAGGCAGGCAGUGACUCUGUAGGAGGGGCUGGUCCAGACAGCCCCAGACAGGGCAGGUGCUUUGGAUCUCCUGCCCCAGAGACCUACUCAGUCCCAGGAGAGUGGUGGUCACUGGACCCUGGAUCCAACCUCUUUGGGGAGGACAGACAGCAGAGGCUCGGCUCCAGAUGCUGCCAUGUGACCAUUUAUGUCCUCCAGUAUCCGUGGCAUCCCUGGGACUCUCCACAUUGCUGUCUUUUUCCUCAGCAAGUGCCGUCUUGCCUUACAGCAUAGCAGGUGUCAACUAUCUGAGGCUCUGAAAUGAUGAGAAGACCGUGGCCACAAUGUCCAAGUGGAAAAGGGAAGCUUGGGGUAAGCCUGCAGCAACUGAACACAGCAUAUGGUGUGUGUGUGUGUGUGUGUGUGUGUGUGUGUGUGUGUGUGUAUGUGUGCUCUGUAGGAUUCAGACACACAGCUAGUAAGUGGCAGAGCUGGUAUUUGAACCCAGGACCCCUGAGUCAGGAAAGGCAGAUGGAACAGUUGGCCAGGGAGGGGAAGGUGCUGCCAGGAUUGCCCUGUGACCUCACGACCCACUUCUGCUUUCUGUACCAUGUGCUCAGCACACAGGAAGCCUGGCGGGGCCUCCCUUGACUGUCCUGUCUGCAGCCGGGUGGACACGGGGUCCAGGCCCCACUUCCUGUGUUGUGCAAGAUGUGCCAUCCCCUUUGUGGAACAGGCAGUGGCCCCGGGGGAUGGGGACAGUCAAUGCCCGAGGUUAUCUCACAGCCUGGCCUUGCCCUCCCCCCGCCCCUUCUUUUACUCCUCUGUUGCCCUGAGGUUUAGGC
RNAcentral lists this long non-coding RNA (1545 nucleotides) under Cricetulus griseus (Chinese hamster). Its description in RNAcentral is "lncRNA (ENSCGRG00000024304.1)". Lineage: Eukaryota; Metazoa; Chordata; Mammalia; Rodentia; Cricetidae. The record is from RNAcentral.